This 261-nucleotide long non-coding RNA is filed under the name Hordeum vulgare. RNAcentral describes it as "long non-coding RNA (HVUL_LNC006431)". The record is from RNAcentral. Lineage: Eukaryota; Viridiplantae; Streptophyta; Magnoliopsida; Poales; Poaceae.
CAGAGAGAAGGCUGCUAGUGACGAGGAGAGGGCAAGAUAACUUGCAAGGGCUCGCAAAGCGCAAGAUGAGGAUGAGGCACGUGACAAGAAAGGGAAGUGGCCUCGUGUUACCCAAUAAAUUUUUGACAUGAAAUUGUGACAUGUCAAAUUUGUGGUCUUCGAACCAUGUCCUUGAACUAAUUUGUGCUUUCUAUUCGAACUAAUUUGUGGUCUUUGAACUAUGUCUUCGAACAAUGUUGAAUGAAUUUGAGACUAUCAAUA